CUGGCGGCGUGCUUAACACAUGCAAGUCGAGCGAUGAAGCUCUUCGGAAGUGGAUUAGCGGCGGACGGGUGAGUAACACGUGGGUAACCUGCCUCAUAGAGGGGAAUAGCCUUCCGAAAGGAAGAUUAAUACCGCAUAAGAUUGUAAUAUCGCAUGAUAUAGCAAUUAAAGGAGUAAUCCGCUAUGAGAUGGACCCGCGUCGCAUUAGCUAGUUGGUGAGGUAACGGCUCACCAAGGCGACGAUGCGUAGCCGACCUGAGAGGGUGAUCGGCCACAUUGGGACUGAGACACGGCCCAGACUCCUACGGGAGGCAGCAGUGGGGAAUAUUGCACAAUGGGGGAAACCCUGAUGCAGCAACGCCGCGUGAGUGAUGACGGUCUUCGGAUUGUAAAGCUCUGUCUUUAGGGACGAUAAUGACGGUACCUAAGGAGGAAGCCACGGCUAACUACGUGCCAGCCGCCGC
This 464-nucleotide ribosomal RNA is filed under the name uncultured bacterium. RNAcentral's name for it is "bacterial SSU rRNA". It matches the Rfam family "Bacterial small subunit ribosomal RNA", at positions 36 to 518 of the family's 1533-position model. The record is from RNAcentral.